CUGAAACCCACUAAACCCAAGAUGGCCACAAGAGGGACCUCUGGUCGUCCUCACUGCUACACUCCCACCAGCGCCAUGACAGUUUAUAAAUGCCCUGGCAAUGUCAGGAAGUUAGCCUAUGUGGUGGUCUAAAAACAGAAGGCAUGAAUAAUCCACCCCUUGUUUAGCACAUAAUCAAGAAAUAACCGUAAGAAUGUGCAACCAGCAGCCCUUGGGGCUGCUCUGUCUAUGGAGUGGCCAUUCUUUUAUUCCUUUGCUUUCCUAAUAAACUUGCUUUCACUUUACAGACUUGCCCUGAAUUCUUUCUUGCGCGAGAUCUAAGAACCCUCUCUUGGGGUCUGGAUGAGGACCACCUUCCUGUAACAUCUUUCUGGCAACCACAGAAGGGACACAAAGGCUACCUUUGGCUUGGCCCCCAGGGCUAGGGUCCAGCCGCCGGGUCACUAGGACCACUCAAAGAAAGGGAACACAAAAGCCUCACGUGCCAGCAAAAGGGGUCUCUCUGUGUCACCCAGGCUGGAGGUCAAUGACGCCAUCACCUCUCAUUGCCGCCUCAACCUCCUGAGCUCAAAGGAUACUCUCGCCUCAGCUCCUCAAGUAGCUGUAACCACAGUUCUGCUGAUGUAAGCCAUGCUCUGCUGAUCUCAACGGAGUGUACCUAUGCAUCUGCAGUCAGCUGCCACGUAAUCUGCAGCUGGUUUAUCUAGGAUGGCCUCAUUCUUACGUCUUACGUCUGGCAAUUGGAGGUGCACAACAUAGGGGGUGGAGCCAAGAUGGCCGAAUAGGAACAGCUCCAGGCUACAGCUCCCAGCGUGAGCAACGCAGAAGAUGACUAAUUUCUCCAUUUCCAACUGAGAUAGAUGUGAGUAAUAUUGAUGAACGAAGAAAACACAGUAAGACAUCAUGGAAACAUGUUGAUUUAAGUCCUAAUCAUGGAGUUAAGAAACAGUGGCUUUUGAGUAAUGAUGAUAUCAGAACAAGAGUAAGUUAAAAGUACCAGAAAGAAAGUAAUUGAAUUUGUCGUAACUAACUUCUGUCAAUAACUGUCUCUAAAACUUGGCCCUAAUUUACAUAAAUUGUAUUAAAAAUGUUCAAAUACUUGGUUAUAAUCAACUCCAAAACUGCAAAAUACUGCUUUUCUCCUAGUGAUUUAUUAUCUAGGCUUCUAGUCUUUGGAGUGAGUUCAAGGGGUGUGGAGAGGGCUUCUAAAUUGUCAGUGCUUUCAACAGCAUAUGUUGUCUGUGGAAUCCUGAGACCCUUGAUGAUGUAGAAAUUUGUAUUAGAAAUGGGAUCAUACAAAACACCAAACCAAAUCAAAACAAAAGACAGAAUGAAAAAGGAAUCCUACCUUUAGUUAUAAGAAAAAUAUGUCACACUUUCAGAGCACUAAAGUGUAGUCAGUCUGAAUUGCUUCACUCCUGAAUAUAAUAUAUAUAAAUUUUUAUGGUCCUAUUUGAUGUAAGUGAUGUAAUUCUAUAACCUAUUAUUGAUAGUGUUUUUCCUUAUCUGGAUUUUAUAUAGCCAAAGCUAAAAAUGUUCUUGUGAGUUUGAGUUGGUUAAACAAAUAAAUUUGACAUUGAACCAUAUUUCUU
This 1592-nucleotide long non-coding RNA is filed under the name Homo sapiens (human). RNAcentral's name for it is "HSALNT0075042". Lineage: Eukaryota; Metazoa; Chordata; Mammalia; Primates; Hominidae. The record is from RNAcentral.